This 240-nucleotide unclassified non-coding RNA is filed under the name soil metagenome. RNAcentral's name for it is "partial contains 5.8S ribosomal RNA, internal transcribed spacer 2, and large subunit ribosomal RNA". The record is from RNAcentral.
AACCAUUCUCACCUGCGGCUAGACCUGCGGAAGGAUCAUUACAGAGUUGCAAAACUCCCUAAACCAUUGUGAACGUUACCUAAACCGUUGCUUCGGCGGGCGGCCCGGGUCCUUCCCGGCGCCCAUCGGCCCUCGCGGGCGCCCGCCGGAGGUAAACCAAACUAUUGCAUUGUAUGGCCUCUCUGAGUCUUCUGUACUGAAUAAGUCAAAACUUUCAACAACGGAUCUCAGAUCGGAAGA